AUGGCUUCUUCGAAGAUCCUUAUACCGUUUUAUAGAUGGUAUAAUGAUUCAAAGCGAAGCCUAAAUCAAAUCAUCUCACAACUAAUUUGGCUACUUUUCUUACAGUAUUAGCAAAAUACAGAAUAAUACGCUAUGGGAAUCGAAACUGGUAAUUGAAAUCAUUAUUGGUCGAUAAUUAGUUUGAGACAUUG
Molecule: small nucleolar RNA, 191 nt
Filed under: Candida maltosa Xu316
Lineage: Eukaryota; Fungi; Ascomycota; Pichiomycetes; Serinales; Debaryomycetaceae
Source: RNAcentral